GCAAAGUAGGAUGAUCGUUGGGGUGUUAAUUAUGCAAUAAGACUUACAAUUGCAAAAUCCGUUACUGCCUCAAACAAUAUAAUAGUUAAUUAAGAUCGUUUAUCGAAAUUCUGCUUGAAGAUGCGUCUUCGGGAUAGUGAUACAGAUAGGGCUCCGGUGGUGGUGGCGGAUCUGGUGCAUCCUCAUCAAAGUGGACUUUGCCGUGAAUGCCGGCGGUUCCAUCAAGCUAAUGGCAGAGUUGCUGAUUCGCUGAAAUAAUUUAGGCCACUAUAAAAGACAUCUUUUUUUAUAAACUAAAAGAAUAACAGGAAAUAAUAGUAUUAGGAAACAACUUGUUUUUUAUUUCUAAUUUUCUCGUCAAAUGCAAAAUUCUUUUUUAUGAUUUUUAUAAUUAUUAAAAAGUUAAUUGUAAAA
Long non-coding RNA from Monomorium pharaonis (pharaoh ant), 414 nucleotides. RefSeq lists it as uncharacterized. The record is from RefSeq and is a predicted model, not a curated record. NCBI's taxonomy places the organism in Eukaryota, Metazoa, Arthropoda, Insecta, Hymenoptera, Formicidae. The transcript has 3 exons.